Long non-coding RNA from Pogoniulus pusillus (Red-fronted tinkerbird), 743 nucleotides. RefSeq lists it as uncharacterized. Lineage: Eukaryota; Metazoa; Chordata; Aves; Piciformes; Lybiidae. The transcript is spliced from 3 exons. The record is from RefSeq and is a predicted model, not a curated record.
CCAACUGGGCAGAGGGUUCCUCCUCCUGUCAUCACUGUGCCUUGUUAUGCUCUGAGGGGGAUUAGCUAUGUCUCAGCAGAAAGAUCCCUGGCAGCUACUUUUUACACUGCAACUCUCAUUGAAAAAGUUUCUUCUACACGUGCCUUUAGUGGCAGAGCAGCAAGUAAAACAACCCUGAAAACAAAGCAGAAGGAUGCUAUGAAGGAAAGAAAACAAGCGACAAUUACUGGCUGCAUAUUAAUACUGCAUGGCUUUUUUACCCCUGCAUCAGAAGUAAAAUAAAGAAUCAGUGCAAGGAAAUAUUCUAUAGCUGUCAGGAAACAGAUUGUAAAUGAUUAACUUGAUCUUUCUGGGGAAGUAGUGUAUCUUCCGUUCAGAAUGUACAUCUGAAAAGCGGCUUUUUGUUUCGAGCAGUCUUCCUAUCUUCCCAAUGAGUUUUAAGUUGCCUGUCAGAUGUGCAGAACAGAAAAUCUGUAGAGGUAAAAAGGGAAAGGUUAACUCCCCAGCCUCUCUUUGAUAAGUAAGGGUAUUAAAACGGUGUGCCUUAUCUCUGUAGCAUAGUGAGUCAGAGAUACCAAGGAUAAAGUGCUAAGGUCCACAAAAUCCCAGGAUCUGCUAGUAGGUUACAAUGGCCAGAGCUCUAAAAGACCUAAGUAAGAAGAAUAUUAUUUUUGGGAUGGAGUUAAGAACAUGGAGUAUUUCUACAAGACUAUUUAAUAAAAUCUAUUAUCUCCCCUGAAGAA